GCCUUCGUGGUAUAGUGGUCAGCACGUUCGAGGCUUAACCGAGAGGUCCGUGGUUCGAUUCCCGGUGAAGGCG
This 73-nucleotide transfer RNA is filed under the name Stegodyphus mimosarum. It matches the Rfam family "tRNA". Rfam says of the family: Transfer RNA (tRNA) molecules are approximately 80 nucleotides in length. Lineage: Eukaryota; Metazoa; Arthropoda; Arachnida; Araneae; Eresidae. The record is from Rfam by way of RNAcentral.